RNAcentral lists this ribosomal RNA (372 nucleotides) under uncultured eukaryote. RNAcentral's name for it is "partial 18S ribosomal RNA". It matches the Rfam family "Eukaryotic small subunit ribosomal RNA", at positions 592 to 975 of the family's 1831-position model. The record is from RNAcentral.
CAAUAGCGUAUAUUAAAGUUGUUGCAGUUAAAAAGCUCGUAGUUGAAUUUUUGCUUGCCGCCGAUGUCGGAACUUCCGUACGUUCGGCGGCGUGCAUCCUUGGGUGGAACCUGUGUGGCAUUAGGUUGUCGUGCAGGGGAUGCUCAUCGUUUACUGUGAAAAAAUUAGAGUGUUCAAAGCAGGCUUACGCCGUUGAAUAUAUUAGCAUGGAAUAAUAAGAUAGGACCUUGGUACUAUUUUGUUGGUUUGCGCACCGAGAUAAUGAUUAACAGGGACAGUUGGGGGUAUUCGUAUUCCAUUGUCAGAGGUGAAAUUCUUGGAUUUCUGGAAGACGAACUACUGCGAAAGCAUUUACCAAGGAUGUUUNCAUUA